RNAcentral lists this ribosomal RNA (422 nucleotides) under uncultured archaeon. RNAcentral describes it as "partial 16S ribosomal RNA". It matches the Rfam family "Archaeal small subunit ribosomal RNA", at positions 323 to 746 of the family's 1478-position model. The record is from RNAcentral.
CUACGGGUCGCAGCAGUUAGGCAUCUUUUACAAUGCGCGAAAGCGUGAUAAAGUGAGCCAGAGUGCGUCUCAACAUGAGAUGCUUUUGCUUAGUGUAAAAAGCUAGGCGAAUAAGGACUGGGUAAGACGAGUGCCAGCCGCCGCGGUAAUACUCGCGGUCCAAGUCGCAGCCAUCUUUAUUGGGUCUAAAAUAUCCGUAGCUUGUUUUGUAAGUCUUUUGUGAAAUCCGGCUUCUCAAGAGUCGGGCGUGCAGGAGAUACUGCGAAACUAGAGACCGGAAGACGUGAGGAGUACAGUAGAAGUAGCGGUUAAAUGCGUUAAUCUCUGCUGGACUAACAACAGCGAAGGCACCUUACAAGUACGGUUCUGACAGUGAGGGAUGAAGGCUAGGGGCGCAAAAGGGAUUAGAUACCCUCGUAGUC